This 544-nucleotide ribosomal RNA is filed under the name uncultured Glomeromycotina. RNAcentral's name for it is "SSU rRNA". It matches the Rfam family "Eukaryotic small subunit ribosomal RNA", at positions 548 to 1098 of the family's 1831-position model. Lineage: Eukaryota; Fungi; Glomeromycota. The record is from RNAcentral.
UUGGAGGGCAAGUCUGGUGCCAGCAGCCGCGGUAAUUCCAGCACCAAUAGCGUAUAUUAAAGUUGUUGCAGUUAAAAAGCUCGUAGUUGAAUUUCGGGGUUCUACCGUUGGUCGGGCUUUGUCUGUACUGGUGUGUAGAAUUUCUACCUUCUGGGGAACCAUCAUGCUAUUAAUUUAGCGUGGUGGGAAACCAGGACCUCUACCUUGAAAAAAUUAGUGUGUUCAAAGCAGGCUUAUGUCUGAAUACAUUAGCGUGGAAUAAUAGAAUAGGACGGUGGUCCUGUUUUGUUGGUUUCUGAAUCACCGUAAUGAUUAAUAGGGAUAGUUGGGGGCAUUAGUAUUCAAUUGUCAGAGGUGAAAUUCUUGGAUUUAUUGAAGACUAACUUCUGCGAAAGCAUUCGCCAAGGAUGUUUUCAUUAAUCAAGAACGAAAGUUAGGGGAUCGAAGACGAUCAGAUACCGUCGUAGUCUUAACCAUAAACUAUGCCGACUAGGGAUCGGACGAUGUUAAUUUUUCUUGACUCGUUCGGCGCCUUACGGGAAAC